GCCGAUUAUCUAACCUUUUGGAAGAAGUCGUCGAAGGUGGAAUCAAUACCUGGGGUGAAGUCGUAACAAGGUAGCCGUAUCGGAAGGUGCGGCUGGAUCACCUCCUUUCUAAGGAGA
RNAcentral lists this ribosomal RNA (117 nucleotides) under Clostridioides difficile. Its description in RNAcentral is "partial 16S ribosomal RNA". It matches the Rfam family "Bacterial small subunit ribosomal RNA", at positions 1426 to 1533 of the family's 1533-position model. The record is from RNAcentral. Lineage: Bacteria; Bacillati; Bacillota; Clostridia; Peptostreptococcales; Peptostreptococcaceae.